UCGCGUAAUUUACUUGGUCCAGCACGAGGUUGCCAUCCUUCCUUAACCGAAACAGUGACUCGGGCAUACAGCCGAUCAAGUAAAAGUAUAUCCUUAAGAGGAUGUGCUCGUAACUUGGAUGCUUCUGGACAACCCUACAAUAAAAAAUAUAUAUUAAUUUAUUUUUAGCAUAUAUAUUUGUUACAUAUUUAAAAGUAUGAAAAUAUAUUUAAACAAAAUUACUUACUUUUAUUAGCUCAUUCCACCAAACCCUAAACCCAAAUAUAACUCCAAAUAUAAGCACAAAAUCCAAAUAGAAUUGAACACAAUAAAUAACAUAGUACAUAUUUGUGAAAUUAUAAAAUAUCUAUAAUUAUAUGGAAAAAGUUAUUGCUGACCUCAACCAUACACCUUCACCUUUUAAAUACUAAACCCUAAACUCUAAUCACUAAACCCUUACCCAAAUAUAAACCCUAAACUCAAAUAGAAUGGAAGGGAAAUAUGUCUGUAUAACCAAGAAAAAAAAGCAUAAUUCAUGAAUUUGCCAAUUUCCCUAAUAUAACGAUACGCAGUGUGUCUUUUCUAUAAUAUUGUCAUCCUACCCUUUCAUUCAACCGGUAAAACCUGCAAAAAAGAUUAUAAUCAAAAUUAAUAACUAGUGAUUCUAAAAGAAAGACGUGGCAUUUACUUACUCUCACAUAGCUAACAAACCAAAUGGUAAAAUAUUGAAAGGUCAAUAGAUUCAUCUUCAUAUUUGAGCGAUUAAGACGCCACUGAUUACAUUCUUGGUGAGUUUGUGGAGAAGAAGACCAUUAUCGAAGGCUCGGUAGGUGACAAAAGGCGUGAGUAAGACGGCACCUUAACGGCGGUAAAACAAAAUCACAUUGCCUAUUAUGUAAGUUGUUUUACUACUCUUAAAUUCUUUGAAUUUCCAUUCAUUGUAUGUCGGAAUCUGAUAGUGUAAAGUAAAAAAAACCAGAAAUUUGUAAUUUUCUGUUUAUAAGAAAAUGGUGCUUGUAUUCCAUUUGCAUGACAAUAUAGUUGACUGUGUAUAUACAUGGAAUAGACCCGAUGAAGAUAGCUAUGUCAACCUCUAUUACUUUGUUUGUGUGAAUUUGUAAAUAAAAUAUACUAUAUAUAAGUAAAUAAAGUAGUAUAGAUUUUUAUUUCCAUAAUAUAUAAACUAUAUUGUGGUGGGUGACUGUGUUGUAUAUAAAUGGAAUAGUACAGAUAUCUGUCCGCAUAGUAUAGUAAUUAUUAUGUUAAUAGUAUAGUAUAUGUUAUUGAAAUGGUUUUCAGUUUAAAAAUAAUGUGCGUUGACAUCGCCACAUAAUUAAUAAUCAUAAUUUAAUAUGUGAUGUUCUGUGAUUUAUGGAAUUGUUGAUGGAAUUGUCUCCGUUGAUGGUGAAGGAUUGUGGUGAAUAAUAGAGUUUUGAAGACUCGUGUGGCGAGUGACAGGACUUGUUCAGUGGCGAUCACCUCCAUCUAUACAAUCAAAACUACUGUAUUUGUUUCUACCGCAAUUGUCCCCCUUCUCAUAAUUCUAUGCCCGUGUGUUCUUCUCUUCUAUCUAGUGAAUCAACAACAAAAUUCGUUUCUCUGAUGCGGUUGCAUGUACUAUCUCCACCGAUGUCGACAGAUACACUUAUUUUUUAUUGUUGUGAAUGACAAACAAUAUUGAAUGUAUUGACCUUUCCAUAUUUUAUAUUGAUGUGUAUAUUAUUUUGUAAAGAGAAAUAGUUUAUUAAACGCAAAUUGUAUAGAAUUUAUUAUGGCAUCAGAUAAAACAGAAUACAAUGUGAUGUUGAGUCGAAUGGUAUUCAUAUGAUGUUUCUUUAAUAUUACAUAAUAUAAUUUAAUAUUACACAAUUUUAUGUACUUUUUAAAUUUUGAUAUUUGGGUUUAGGGUUUAUCUUUGGAUUAGGAUUUAGUGAUUUAAGUUUAGGGUUUAGUAUUUAGAAAGUGAGGGAGUAUGGUUUUGGGUCGGCAUUAACUUCUUCCUUGCAAUCAUAUAUAUUUCAUAAUCUCACCAAUAGGUACUAUGUUAUUUAUUUUAUUUCAUUCUAUUUGGGUUUAUGAUUUAUAUUUAGGUUUAGGGUUUAUAUUUUGGUAAGGGUUUAGUGAUUUGAGUUUAGGGUUUAGUAUUUAGAAGGUGGAGAAGUAUGGUUAUGGUCGACGUUAACUUCUUCCAUGCAAUCAUAGACAUUUCAUAAUUUCACCAAUAUGUACUAUGUUAUUUAUUUUGUUCCAUUCUAUCUAGGUUUUGGGUUUAUAUUUGAGUUUAUGGUUUAUAUUUGUUUUUAGGGUUUACUAAUUAGAUUUUAGGGUUUAGUAUUUAGGGGUUGGGUGAGAUUGAGAUAAUGUUUAGUAUCUAGGAAUUGUGGUUGGGAUAUGUUUAGUAUUUAGGGAUUAUAAGUAGAGUUAUAAUCCUAUACUACUUAGGUGAUAUGGAACAGAACACUCGUGCAUAUGUAUGUAAGAUAUACGUGGAUGGUUCUUCUUUCAUUUUUUAAAAUAGUUUUCAGGUGCUCUUGACCUUUUAUUUGGAAUAGUUUAAAUUGUAUUAAGGUCUACAUUUCCAUGUAUGAUUUAGUUCUUAUUUGAUAGGAUUCAAUUUAUUUCGUGAUAUAUACUAUUUUACCAUAUAGAAUAGUAAUUCAGGUAAUUUCUUUGUCUGUUAAGUUAACAGAAGUUGUGUAACGCGUACAAUUAUUAUCCACUCAUGUCGCAUCAUUCUCUUACAUUAUAGGCGUUAAUUAUGUACCACAAAAGACAACCACAUCGUUUACUUUAGAAAUUGUAACUGCCAACUUAUUACGUGAAAGGGCAGAACCGGAGAGAAUAUAAUCAAAAAGUCUGACAUUUAAUUAUGUCAAAAUCAGUGUUAUCCACCUAAUUUCAUACUGAAAUAUGGCUAUUCAGCCAGUAAGCCCAUUUUAAUUCAUGCCGCCCAGUUAGUUCUUCCCGUUUUUAUUUCUAGAAACUUAAUAUUUUCUUCUUCAUUUGGCAGCGACAUGAAGAUUUGAAAGUCACUUUCGUCUGAGGCAAGAUAAUCAAUUGCAGUCCAAUACAACUCACUCUCAUGAUUUAGAGUGGUCAUCUUUAAGAGCUCCUGCAUACACACUGCACAACUAAAUGGAUUUAGAGAUUCAAAUGUCUAUCGGCCGCCUUUCCAAAAUUUUCCUUGAUUUUCAAUAGCAGUUGUGAGACGCUCCCACUUAUCUGGAUUCACUUGUUUACGAGAAGCAACAGCUUUUCCCUUUCCCACGUGGUCCCAAUUUUCCAAUCGGUUCAGCUGGUUCGACUUCUUCAUCAGAUUCGAUCACUUGAGUAAAUGGGUUUGGUGCAUCGCGUAAUUUACUUGGUCCAGCAUGAGGUUGCCAUCCUUCCUUAACCGAAACAGUGACUCGGGCAUACAGACGAUCAAGUAAAGGUAUAUCUUUAAGAGGAUGUGCUCGCAACUUGGAUGCUUCCGAACAACCCUACAAUAAAAAUAUAUAUUAAUUUAUUUUUAGCAUAUAUAUUUGUUACAUAUUUAAAAGUAUGAAAAUAUAUUUAAAACAAAAUUACUUACUUUUAUUAGCUCAU
RNAcentral lists this long non-coding RNA (3567 nucleotides) under Brassica napus (rape). RNAcentral's name for it is "long non-coding RNA (BNAP_LNC012307)". Lineage: Eukaryota; Viridiplantae; Streptophyta; Magnoliopsida; Brassicales; Brassicaceae. The record is from RNAcentral.